Molecule: small nucleolar RNA, 132 nt
Organism: Apodemus sylvaticus (European woodmouse)
Lineage: Eukaryota; Metazoa; Chordata; Mammalia; Rodentia; Muridae
Product: small nucleolar RNA SNORA17
Exons: 1
Source: RefSeq, a predicted model, not a curated record
CCUGGCCCUAGAGGCAUUGCAGGUAUGGCUGCUGUAUCUCUUGCACAUUAGUAGGUGGCAGAGAGGAUAGGAGCUACAUCUAUACUCAGUGUUCUGACCUAUGAACACCUGAGUGAUUAGUAGCCUAACAUU